CGGACGGGUGAGUAACGCGUGAGAAUCUAGCUUCAGGUCGGGGACAACCACGGGAAACUGUGGCUAAUACCGGAUAUGCCGAGAGGUGAAAGGCUUGCUGCCUGAAGAUGAGCUCGCGUCUGAUUAGCUAGUAGGUGUGGUAAAAGCGCACCUAGGCGACGAUCAGUAGCUGGUCUGAGAGGAUGAUCAGCCACACUGGGACUGAGACACGGCCCAGACUCCUACGGGAGGCAGCAGUGGGGAAUUUUCCGCAAUGGGCGAAAGCCUGACGGAGCAAUACCGCGUGAGGGAGGAAGGCUCUUGGGUUGUAAACCUCUUUUCUCAGGGAAGAAAAAAAUGACGGUACCUGAGGAAUAAGCAUCGGCUAACUCCGUGCCAGCAGCCGCGGUAAUACGGAGGAUGCAAGCGUUAUCCGGAAUGAUUGGGCGUAAAGGGUCCGCAGGUGGCUAUGUAAGUCUGCUGUUAAAGAACCUAGCUUAACUAGGUAAAAGCAGUGGAAACUACAAGGCUAGAGUGCGUUCGGGGUAGAGGGAAUUCCUGGUGUAGCGGUGAAAUGCGUAGAUAUCAGGAAGAACACCAGUGGCGAAGGCGCUCUACUAGGCCGCAACUGACACUGAGGGACGAAAGCUAGGGGAGCGAAUGGGAUUAGAUACCCCAGUAGC
RNAcentral lists this ribosomal RNA (662 nucleotides) under uncultured cyanobacterium. RNAcentral's name for it is "bacterial SSU rRNA". It matches the Rfam family "Bacterial small subunit ribosomal RNA", at positions 99 to 794 of the family's 1533-position model. The record is from RNAcentral. Lineage: Bacteria; Bacillati; Cyanobacteriota.